GUGUGCUUUCCCUUUUGGUUCUGGCUCUUCCUGCCCAGAUUGGUUGACAACAGGAUGGGUGUUGCCUCCAAACCACUCUGAUAUGCUGUACCUGUGCCAGCUGCCCCUGCAAGAAGUUCAGGCCACUGCCCAAGCGUUGUGAUUUCAGGGAAGCGAGGGGUGUUCCGGGAAAAGAAAACAAACAGCAGGGGGAGGGCUGGGUUUGCUUUCUCUUUCGUUUCCAGCGCUGCAAACCCACAUACAGCAGCACAACUAUGGACGCUCCGGUGCUCCCGAUGCCGGCUCCGCUCUGCCUGGUGACCAACAAGGACGGCGUGCUCGCCCUCAACCCCGCAGCGCUGGCAGUGCUGCAGGAGGUGGCCCAGCCUAUGGUGGUGGUGGCCAUCGCUGGGCCCUACCGCACCGGGAAGUCCUUCCUGAUGAACCGGCUGGCACAGAAGCGCACUGGCUUCCCGCUGGGCCCCACGGUGCAGGCAGAGACCAAGGGCAUCUGGAUGUGGUGCCUGCAGCACCCACGCCAGCAGGGAGUGACCUUGAUGCUGCUGGACACUGAGGGCCUGGGAGACCCCAAAAAGGGUGACAGCCACAAUGACGCCUGGAUCUUCACACUGGCGCUGCUGUUGUCCAGCACCCUGGUGUACAACAGCAUAGGCACCAUCGACCAGAAGGCACUGGAGAACCUCGAGCUGGUGACACAGCUGUCGGAGCUGAUCCGGGUGCGGGACAGGGACAAGGACGGCAACAACAGCGUUGAAAGAGAAGAUGAGGCCGAGGACUGCGAGUUCGUGCGCUACUUCCCCAGCUUUGUGUGGGUGGUGAGGGACUUCACGCUGGAGCUGCGCGUGGGCGAGCGGCCCAUCAGUGAGGAUGAGUACCUGGAGCAGGUGCUGGAACUCAAGCACGGGCAUGGCCGCAAGGUGCAGAACUACAAUGGGACGCGGCUCUGCCUCCGCAACUAUUUCCCCACACGGAAGUGCUUCGUGCUGCCUCCGCCACUGGGCACAGAGGAGUGCGGGCGCAUGGAGGAGCUGCCCGAGGCUGCACUGGCCCCACGUUUCCUCCAACAGGCAGCCCAGUUCUGCAACUACGUGCUGAGCUCCACCAGGCUCAAGACGCUGCCUGACGGCAGAGCACUGACAGGGCGAGCCCUGUGCAUGCUGCUGCAGAGCUACGUGGAGGCCAUCAACAGCGGGCAUCUGCCCUGCCUGGAGGGAGCAGCGGCAGUGAUGAUGGCCAACGAGAAUGCAGCGGCGGUGGCGGCAGCGCUGGAGGCCUAUACCAGGGGCAUGCGGGGGCUGUCACUGCCCACAGAGCCUGCACAGCUCUCGGCCGCGCAUGGGGAGCACCUGCAUGAGGCACUCAUUGUCUUCCAGCGUCGCAGCUUCCGGGAUCGUGACCAGGAGCACCAGCGGCGCCUCAUGGAACAGAUCAGCACAGAGUACAGCCACCUGCAGGAGGAGAAUGAUGAAGCAUCACGGCAGCACUGCAAGGCACUGCUGGCUGAGCUGGCACAGGCACUGCAUACCAGCCUGGCCCGUGGGGCCUACACACAGCCCGGAGGCUACCGCGCCUACGAGGCCGAGCGGCAGCGGCUGCUGGAGGGCUAUCGGCAAGCGGAGGGCAAGGGCCCCAAGGCCGAGGAGGUGCUGAAUGAGUUCCUGGCGGAGCGUCGGGCAGAGGCAGAGGCAGUGCUGAAGGCAGACAAUGCACUGAGCGAGGCCGAGAAGCAGCUGGAGGACCAGAAGCAGCAGGCGCAGCUCCUGGAGCAGCGGCAGAAAGCGACGGCGGAGCGCGAACGGCAGCUGGAGGCGCUGCUAGAGGACGAGCGCAACAGCUACGCGCAGAACCUGCAAGCCCUGGAGGCCAAGAUGAAGGCGGAGGCGGAGAGCGCGCAGCGGGAGCUGCAGCGGGCGAUGGAAGCGAAGCUACGGGAGCAGAGAGAGCUGCUGCAGCGCGGCUUCAGAGAGCAGGCGGCGCUGAUGGAGCAGGAGCUGGCGGCGCUGCGGCGGGAGAGCAACAACAACAGCAAGCAGGAGCUGGCGGCCUACAUUUUCGACACCGUGCGCGCCGCCUGCGACCUCAUCAGCACGUUAAAACUGUCCAAGCUGGCCAAGUCACGGGGAACAGCAGUGUAGGCGACUGCACGCCGCUAAACCUCCGCCCGCCCCUCUUCGGCGGCCCAAUAAAGCGCUCAUCCCAC
RNAcentral lists this long non-coding RNA (2200 nucleotides) under Gallus gallus (chicken). The record is from RNAcentral. Lineage: Eukaryota; Metazoa; Chordata; Aves; Galliformes; Phasianidae.